RNAcentral lists this ribosomal RNA (450 nucleotides) under uncultured bacterium. RNAcentral describes it as "partial 16S ribosomal RNA". It matches the Rfam family "Bacterial small subunit ribosomal RNA", at positions 354 to 796 of the family's 1533-position model. The record is from RNAcentral.
GUGGGGAAUAUUGGACAAUGGGCGAAAGCCUGAUCCAGCCAUGCCGCGUGUGUGAAGAAGGUCUUCGGAUUGUAAAGCACUUUAAGUUGGGAGGAAGGGCAGUAAGUUAAUACCUUGCUGUUUUGACGUUACCGACAGAAUAAGCACCGGCUAACUUCGUGCCAGCAGCCGCGGUAAUACGAAGGGUGCAAGCGUUAAUCGGAAUUACUGGGCGUAAAGCGCGCGUAGGUGGUUUUGUAAGUUGGAGGUGAAAUCCCCGGGCUCAACCUAGGAACUGCCUCCAAAAAUGCAUGACUAGAGUACGGUAGAGGGUAGUGGAAUUUCCUGUGUAGCGGUGAAAUGCGUAGAUAUAGGAAGGAACACCAGUGGCGAAGGCGACUACCUGGACUGAUACUGACACUGAGGUGCGAAAGCGUGGGGAGCAAACAGGAUUAGAAACCCGAGUAGUCC